This 427-nucleotide ribosomal RNA is filed under the name uncultured bacterium. Its description in RNAcentral is "partial 16S ribosomal RNA". It matches the Rfam family "Bacterial small subunit ribosomal RNA", at positions 355 to 774 of the family's 1533-position model. The record is from RNAcentral.
UGGGGAAUAUUGCACAAUGGGCGCAAGCCUGAUGCAGCCAUGCCGCGUGUAUGAAGAAGGCCUUCGGGUUGUAAAGUACUUUCAGCGGGGAGGAAGGUGUUGAGGUUAAUAACCUCAGCAAUUGACGUUACCCGCAGAAGAAGCACCGGCUAACUCCGUGCCAGCAGCCGCGGUAAUACGGAGGGUGCAAGCGUUAAUCGGAAUUACUGGGCGUAAAGCGCACGCAGGCGGUCUGUCAAGUCGGAUGUGAAAUCCCCGGGCUCAACCUGGGAACUGCAUUCGAAACUGGCAGGCUAGAGUCAUGUAGAGGGGGGUAGAAUUCCAGGUGUAGCGGUGAAAUGCGUAGAGAUCUGGAGGAAUACCGGUGGCGAAGGCGGCCCCCUGGACAAAGACUGACGCUCAGGUGCGAAAGCGUGGGGAGCAAACA